Molecule: ribosomal RNA, 1025 nt
Filed under: Salmonella enterica subsp. enterica
Lineage: Bacteria; Pseudomonadati; Pseudomonadota; Gammaproteobacteria; Enterobacterales; Enterobacteriaceae
Description: partial 23S ribosomal RNA
Rfam family: Bacterial large subunit ribosomal RNA
Source: RNAcentral
CCCCGGUAAACGGCGGCCGUAACUAUAACGGUCCUAAGGUAGCGAAAUUCCUUGUCGGGUAAGUUCCGACCUGCACGAAUGGCGUAAUGAUGGCCAGGCUGUCUCCACCCGAGACUCAGUGAAAUUGAACUCGCUGUGAAGAUGCAGUGUACCCGCGGCAAGACGGAAAGACCCCGUGAACCUUUACUAUAGCUUGACACUGAACAUUGAGCCUUGAUGUGUAGGAUAGGUGGGAGGCUUUGAAGUGUGGACGCCAGUCUGCAUGGAGCCGACCUUGAAAUACCACCCUUUAAUGUUUGAUGUUCUAACGUGGACCCGUAAUCCGGGUUGCGGACAGUGUCUGGUGGGUAGUUUGACUGGGGCGGUCUCCUCCUAAAGAGUAACGGAGGAGCACGAAGGUUGGCUAAUCCUGGUCGGACAUCAGGAGGUUAGUGCAAUGGCAUAAGCCAGCUUGACUGCGAGCGUGACGGCGCGAGCAGGUGCGAAAGCAGGUCAUAGUGAUCCGGUGGUUCUGAAUGGAAGGGCCAUCGCUCAACGGAUAAAAGGUACUCCGGGGAUAACAGGCUGAUACCGCCCAAGAGUUCAUAUCGACGGCGGUGUUUGGCACCUCGAUGUCGGCUCAUCACAUCCUGGGGCUGAAGUAGGUCCCAAGGGUAUGGCUGUUCGCCAUUUAAAGUGGUACGCGAGCUGGGUUUAGAACGUCGUGAGACAGUUCGGUCCCUAUCUGCCGUGGGCGCUGGAGAACUGAGGGGGGCUGCUCCUAGUACGAGAGGACCGGAGUGGACGCAUCACUGGUGUUCGGGUUGUCAUGCCAAUGGCACUGCCCGGUAGCUAAAUGCGGAAGAGAUAAGUGCUGAAAGCAUCUAAGCACGAAACUUGCCCCGAGAUGAGUUCUCCCUGAGACUUAGAGUCUCCUGAAGGAACGUUGAAGACGACGACGUUGAUAGGCCGGGUGUGUAAGCGCAGCAAUGCGUUGAGCUAACCGGUACUAAUGAACCGUGAGGCUUAACCUUACAACGCCGAAG